This 428-nucleotide ribosomal RNA is filed under the name Fusobacteriota bacterium. Its description in RNAcentral is "Fusobacteria bacterium partial 16S ribosomal RNA". It matches the Rfam family "Bacterial small subunit ribosomal RNA", at positions 355 to 776 of the family's 1533-position model. The record is from RNAcentral. Lineage: Bacteria; Fusobacteriati; Fusobacteriota.
UGGGGAAUCUUGCGCAAUGGACGAAAGUCUGACGCAGCGACGCCGCGUGGGUGAUGAAGGCCUUCGGGUUGUAAAGCCCUGUGGGGAGGGACGAAUAAGUGCAGGCUAAUACCCUGCAUGAUGACGGUACCUCCUUAGCAAGCACCGGCUAACUCUGUGCCAGCAGCCGCGGUAAGACAGAGGGUGCAAACGUUGUUCGGAAUUACUGGGCGUAAAGCGUGUGUAGGCGGCCUCGCAAGUCGGGUGUGAAAGCCCCAGGCUCAACCUGGGAAGUGCACUCGAUACUGCUUGGCUAGAGUGUCGGAGAGGUUGGUGGAAUUCUCGGUGUAGAGGUGAAAUUCGUAGAUAUCGAGAGGAACACCGGUGGCGAAGGCGGCCAACUGGACGAACACUGACGCUGAGACACGAAAGCGUGGGGAGCAAACAGG